RNAcentral lists this ribosomal RNA (292 nucleotides) under uncultured bacterium. RNAcentral's name for it is "partial 16S ribosomal RNA". It matches the Rfam family "Bacterial small subunit ribosomal RNA", at positions 505 to 796 of the family's 1533-position model. The record is from RNAcentral.
GUGUCAGCAGCCGCGGUAAUACGUAGGGACCAAGCGUUGUUCGGAUUUACUGGGCGUAAAGGGCGCGUAGGCGGCGUGACAAGUCACUUGUGAAAUCUCUGAGCUUAACUCAGAACGGCCAAGUGAAACUGUUGUGCUAGAGUGCAGAAGGGGCAAUCGGAAUUCUUGGUGUAGCGGUGAAAUGCGUAGAUAUCAAGAGGAACACCUGAGGUGAAGACGGGUUGCUGGGCUGACACUGACGCUGAUGCGCGAAAGCCAGGGGAGCAAACGGGAUUAGAUACCCGCGUAGUCC